UGGGGAAUUUUGGACAAUGGGGGAAACCCUGAUCCAGCCAUCCCGCGUGUGCGAUGAAGGCCUUCGGGUUGUAAAGCACUUUUGGCAGGAAAGAAACGUCGCGGGUUAAUACCCCGCGAAACUGACGGUACCUGCAGAAUAAGUACCGGCUAACUACGUGCCAGCAGCCGCGGUAAUACGUAGGGUGCAAGCGUUAAUCGGAAUUACUGGGCGUAAAGCGUGCGCAGGCGGUUCGGAAAGAAAGAUGUGAAAUCCCAGAGCUUAACUUUGGAACUGCAUUUUUAACUACCGGGCUAGAGUGUGUCAGAGGGAGGUGGAAUUCCGCGUGUAGCAGUGAAAUGCGUAGAUAUGCGGAGGAACACCGAUGGCGAAGGCAGCCUCCUGGGAUAACACUGACGCUCAUGCACGAAAGCGUGGGGAGCAAACAGGAUUAGAUACCCUGGUAGUCCACGCCCUAAACGAUGUCAGCUAGCUGUUGGGGCCUUCGGGCCUUGGUAGCGCAGCUAACGCGUGAAGUUGACCGCCUGGGGAGUACGGUCGC
This 541-nucleotide ribosomal RNA is filed under the name uncultured bacterium. RNAcentral's name for it is "partial 16S ribosomal RNA". It matches the Rfam family "Bacterial small subunit ribosomal RNA", at positions 355 to 889 of the family's 1533-position model. The record is from RNAcentral.